This 773-nucleotide ribosomal RNA is filed under the name uncultured Neocallimastigales. RNAcentral's name for it is "partial large subunit ribosomal RNA". It matches the Rfam family "Eukaryotic large subunit ribosomal RNA", at positions 22 to 635 of the family's 3401-position model. Lineage: Eukaryota; Fungi; Neocallimastigomycota; Neocallimastigomycetes; Neocallimastigales. The record is from RNAcentral.
GUACACGUGUGACUAGCAUAUCAAUAAGCGGAGGAAAAGAAACUAACAAGGAUUCCCCUAGUAACGGCGAGUGAAGCGGGAAGAGCUCAAAUUUGAAAUCUUAAAGGGUUUCCCUUUACGAAUUGUAGUUUAAAGAAGUGUUUUCUGUUGAGGUUUUGGUAAAAGUUCUUUGGAAUAGGACAUCAUAGAGGGUGAGAAUCCCGUAUUUGACCUUUACUUUCAACUUUGUGAUACACUUUCAAAGAGUCGGAUUGUUUGGGAAUGCAGUCCAAAAUGGGUGGUAAAUUUCAUCUAAAGCUAAAUAUUGGCGAGAGACCGAUAGCGAACAAGUACCGUGAGGGAAAGAUGAGAAGAACUUUGAAAAGAGAGUUAAACAGUACGUGAAAUUGUCAAAAGGGAAGCGUUUGACACCAGUGUUGUUUUUCUGAAAAUCAAUUAAAGAACUGUUUAUGCUAAGUUGUUUAGACUUUAUCAGCUAUCUGUUUAGUUUUGAGCUUUUCUUUAAUGCACUUUUCAGUUAACAAGUCAACAUCAAUUUCUUUUGCUGUAAAAAAGCUUGAGGAAGGUGGCUUGAGAUUCGUCUUAAGUGUUUAUAGCCUCUUGCCUAUGCAGUCGGAGAGAUUGAGGUCUGCAGCGUAGAUCCUUCGGGGCUAAAUGCAUUUGUGCUAAGUUAUAGCAUUUUAUAGACAACUUGUUGACUAUGAUUUGUCUUGUAGCUUACUCGCUUAUGUUAUUUUACCUACGCUUAGGAUGUUGAAGAUGUAGCACAUCAU